GAUGAACGCUGGCGGCGUGCCUAAUACAUGCAAGUCGAGCGAACAGACGAGGAGCUUGCUCCUCUGACGUUAGCGGCGGACGGGUGAGUAACACGUGGAUAACCUACCUAUAAGACUGGGAUAACUUCGGGAAACCGGAGCUAAUACCGGAUAAUAUAUUGAACCGCAUGGUUCAAUAGUGAAAGACGGUUUUGCUGUCACUUAUAGAUGGAUCCGCGCCGCAUUAGCUAGUUGGCAAGGUAACGGCUUACCAAGGCAACGAUGCGUAGCCGACCUGAGAGGGUGAUCGGCCACACUGGAACUGAGACACGGUCCAGACUCCUACGGGAGGCAGCAGUAGGGAAUCUUCCGCAAUGGGCGAAAGCCUGACGGAGCAACGCCGCGUGAGUGAUGAAGGUCUUCGGAUCGUAAAACUCUGUUAUUAGGGAAGAACAAAUGUGUAAGUAACUAUGCACGUCUUGACGGUACCUAAUCAGAAAGCCACGGCUAGCUACGUG
Molecule: ribosomal RNA, 497 nt
Filed under: uncultured bacterium
Lineage: Bacteria
Description: partial 16S ribosomal RNA
Rfam family: Bacterial small subunit ribosomal RNA
Source: RNAcentral